AUGGUUCCAAUGAGAGUGUUACAGGACCA
RNAcentral lists this non-coding RNA (29 nucleotides) under Homo sapiens (human). The record is from RNAcentral. Lineage: Eukaryota; Metazoa; Chordata; Mammalia; Primates; Hominidae.